GAUGAACGCUGGCGGCGUGCCUAAUACAUGCAAGUCGAGCGAACAGACGAGGAGCUUGCUCCUCUGACGUUAGCGGCGGACGGGUGAGUAACACGUGGAUAACCUACCUAUAAGACUGGGAUAACUUCGGGAAACCGGAGCUAAUACCGGAUAAUAUAUUGAACCGCAUGGUUCAAUAGUGAAAGACGGUUUUGCUGUCACUUAUAGAUGGAUCCGCGCCGCAUUAGCUAGUUGGUAAGGUAACGGCUUACCAAGGCAACGAUGCGUAGCCGACCUGAGAGGGUGAUCGGCCACACUGGAACUGAGACACGGUCCAGACUCCUACGGGAGGCAGCAGUAGGGAAUCUUCCGCAAUGGGCGAAAGUCUGACGGAGCAACGCCGCGUGAAUGAUGAAGGUCUUCGGAUCGUAAAACUCUGUUAUUAGGGAAGAACAAAUGUGUAAGUAACUAUGCACGUCUUGACGGUACCUAAUCAGAAAGCCACGGCUAACUACGUG
RNAcentral lists this ribosomal RNA (497 nucleotides) under uncultured bacterium. RNAcentral's name for it is "partial 16S ribosomal RNA". It matches the Rfam family "Bacterial small subunit ribosomal RNA", at positions 28 to 507 of the family's 1533-position model. The record is from RNAcentral.